CGUGGCUUGUUUUGGUUUCGAACCGGGUUGUGCUGGUGACUGUGAUGUCGGAAGCUGGCUCAGAGAUUAUCGCCGCCGCUAGCAAGUCCAGUGUGUGCGGUUUAUGAGUGAUUCGUAGAAAGCGCAGGACAGAGAGCGAUGCGUGAAAGAAAGGCAGCUGUUGAGCAAAGGGCGAGCCUGUCCACAGAUGUAACGUAAGUUUUCCCUUAGCUGUUCGAAUUGAUCUUUUGCUUUGUUUGUGUUCAC
Ornithodoros turicata is the source of this 246-nucleotide long non-coding RNA. RefSeq lists it as uncharacterized. The record is from RefSeq and is a predicted model, not a curated record. The transcript has 3 exons. Lineage: Eukaryota; Metazoa; Arthropoda; Arachnida; Ixodida; Argasidae.